AACCUAGCACACCUGCGGUGUGUACCUGCGGAAGGAUCAUUACCGAGUUUACAACUCCCAAACCCCUGUGAACAUACCUAUACGUUGCCUCGGCGGAUCAGCCCGCGCCCCGUAAAACGGGACGGCCCGCCCGAGGACCCUAAACUCUGUUUUUAGUGGAACUUCUGAGUAAAACAAACAAAUAAAUCAAAACUUUUAACAAUGGAUCU
RNAcentral lists this unclassified non-coding RNA (209 nucleotides) under soil metagenome. Its description in RNAcentral is "partial contains 5.8S ribosomal RNA, internal transcribed spacer 2, and large subunit ribosomal RNA". The record is from RNAcentral.